UAUAAAUCCAAGAACACAACCGAAGAACGUGGGAGCGACCGCGGCGGAAAGCAUGAGAGCAAAGUGGAAGAAGAAGCGCAUGAGGAGGCUCAAGAGGAAGCGACGAAAGAUGAGACAGAGAUCUAAGUAGGCUAGGCCAUUGUUGGCAGAGAGUGAUCGAUUUGUUUCCAAGUAACCGCCGUGCUUUGCUUUGUGUUCGCCUAUUUGCUUUUAAGUUAAUGGUUUCGAUAUGUUUAACAUUUGGAGUAUGUUUUUAAUCUCUGUGUCUGCUCUUCUAUAAUUAUAAUUGAAGGAGAUUAUUAUUUAUCAA
Long non-coding RNA from Musa acuminata AAA Group (dessert banana), 310 nucleotides. RefSeq lists it as uncharacterized. The transcript is spliced from 2 exons. Lineage: Eukaryota; Viridiplantae; Streptophyta; Magnoliopsida; Zingiberales; Musaceae. The record is from RefSeq and is a predicted model, not a curated record.